GACGAACGCUGGCGGCGUGCUUAACACAUGCAAGUCGAACGGAAAGGCCCUGCUUUUGUGGGGUGCUCGAGUGGCGAACGGGUGAGUAACACGUGAGUAACCUGCCCUUGACUUUGGGAUAACUUCAGGAAACUGGGGCUAAUACCGGAUAGGAUCUCCUGCUGCAUGGUGGGGGUUGGAAAGUUUCGGCGGUCGGGGAUGGACUAGCGGCUUAUCAGCUUGUUGGUGGGGUAGUGGCUUACCAAGGUUUUGACGGGUAGCCGGCAUGAGAGGGUGACCGGCCACAUUGGGACUGAGAUACGGACCAGACUCCUACGGGAGGCAGCAGUGGGGAAUAUUGCACAAUGGGCGGAAGCCUGAUGCAGCAACGCCGCGUGCGGGAUGACGGCCUUCGGGUUGUAAACCGCUUUCGCCUGUGACGAAGCGUGAGUGACGGUAAUGGGUAAAGAAGCACCGGCUAACUACGUG
RNAcentral lists this ribosomal RNA (468 nucleotides) under uncultured bacterium. RNAcentral's name for it is "partial 16S ribosomal RNA". It matches the Rfam family "Bacterial small subunit ribosomal RNA", at positions 28 to 507 of the family's 1533-position model. The record is from RNAcentral.